RNAcentral lists this ribosomal RNA (496 nucleotides) under uncultured bacterium. Its description in RNAcentral is "partial 16S ribosomal RNA". It matches the Rfam family "Bacterial small subunit ribosomal RNA", at positions 29 to 507 of the family's 1533-position model. The record is from RNAcentral.
AUUAACGCUGGCGGCGUGCCUAAUCCAUGCAAGUCGCGCGAACAGACGAGGAGCUUGCUCCUCUGACGUUAGCGGCGGACGGGUGAGUAACACGUGGAUAACCUACCUAUAAGACUGGGAUAACUUCGGGAAACCGGAGCUAAUACCGGAUAAUAUAUUGAACCGCAUGGUUCAAUAGUGAAAGACGGUUUUGCUGUCACUUAUAGAUGGAUCCGCGCCGCAUUAGCUAGUUGGUAAGGUAACGGCUUACCAAGGCAACGAUGCGUAGCCGACCUGAGAGGGUGAUCGGCCACACUGGAACUGAGACACGGUCCAGACUCCUACGGGAGGCAGCAGUAGGGAAUCUUCCGCAAUGGGCGAAAGCCUGACGGAGCAACGCCGCGUGAGUGAUGAAGGUCUUCGGAUCGUAAAACUCUGUUAUUAGGGAAGAACAAAUGUGUAAGUAACUAUGCACGUCUUGACGGUACCUAAUCAGAAAGCCACGGCUAACUACGUG